GCUGCUUAUUCUGGGAGGGACACUUUACCUGCUCUGGAAUUAGCAACAGUGAUGUUGGAGUGGCUCAAUAGAUAGUUACUGACUGACUGAUGGAUGGUGUCUUAGGAUGAGAUUAGUAGGACUGACUGCCCUUGGGUGGGUCUCAGAUGAUUUUUUUAGUUGAUAGAAUGGACCUUUAUCUCAGAAGUGACCUCCAGAGUUUAAGUCAUUUGCAAGUGACCUGAAAAGCCCGUGAUAUGUAGCAACAUUUAAACCGGCUGAGGCUAGGAAUUGGUGUGCUUUACAGCUGGUGGGCAGGAGCAAAUCUCUGAGCUAGUGAGCGAGCCUAGUCAACUGCCGGCACCUCCAUCUCCUAGGGACCAAACCAUUCUCUCUAUGUUGCCUCAUUUGCCUAUUAUGGCAAGCCUUGUGCUAGAUGAUCCCCACUCUCUGCCUUUUUAAAGUAUUGGAAUAAAAGAUAACACACACAAUAAUACUUCCUUAUUAUUUUGGAACAUGUUUUGAAAAUGGAAACUGCUAUUGGAACUAUUUUACAGAGAGGAAACUGAAAUCCAGGGAAGAUAAUAUGUUACAGUAACUGUCCUUUCUCUUCCGUUUUCGGCGAAGAUGCAAGCCUGGCUAGAAGGAUAAGCUGCAGAAACAAUGAAGCAGGAGACCCCUACUAUCAUCUUCUGAAGGUACUGACUGGUUUGCUUGCUGGUCUGCUUUCUGGCUGUCCCACUAGGAUAUGAGCUCUCGGGAGCGGCACUGUCGUGAUUCUGAGGCGGAGGUUACCAAACAGGCCUUUACCAGGGAGCCCUUGGCGUCAACGCUGCGGAAGGGGAGGAGACACGCAGGACUGGGCAGAGGGAGACCUUGGACCUCAUGCAAUCACGACAGGCAGCUCCGCACACCCGACAGGAAGUUCUGAAGAUGGGUGACCCUUCAGAACUAACCAGAUUUGGACUGGAGGCCCAGGCCUUUGGAUCUCUGGGCUAUUGAUAAUUGGAUGUGCGCUGUCCCAGGAAGGAGGCGUGAUGUUGGGCAAGACCCACUCAGAGUGACGGCUGGACUGAGUGCUGGCAGCACCCCAGACUCCCAAAGGGGAGCUCGGUACAUCGUCCGUGAUGGGUGCCAUCAGCCUUUUCACUCACGGCCACAGCCCAGCACAGGGGACAGUACGGUGCUUAGUCGUCUGUGUUUGGGUGGCUCUUGUUCUCUGAUCCCACUCCUACUAGGUUCCCAUUACCAGCCUUAAAGUCACUUUGCUCUGAUUACGUGAUUGUCUCCUUGAAUGUGAUCUUCCCUUGAAUGUGAUCCUGCUCCAGAACUUGUGGGAUCAGGAGCAGACCUCCCUCCGCCUUCUUUGGACACAUCUCAGCAUUCCCUGCCUGGCAGCCCACGUAGAACAACCCUUCUCCACUCGCGACAGUGAGGAGAGGCCGUCGACACCCAGAUCCUUGUGUUGCCAGAAGAUGUCGUCCUCGAUCUAAGGGCAAAAUGAAUCAGAGCAUUUCGAUAAAAAGCAAAGUGGCUGAUUUGGGAUCUGCUCUCAUUAACACCUCCUCGCCCGUGGUGUUGAAUGAUAAUACUGUGUCGUGAUAAUAUGAUGAUGAUGAUCACAGAAUGUUCACAGACUGACUGAUAUGUUCACAGGCUGGGCAGUCACUUGUGACAUUUGCAAUACUCAAGGAAAAGCAGCGAGAGGAAGCCUUCCUUUAUGGGAACGUCACUAUUGAGGUUUUUUGGGGGUGGAGGAUAUUAAAGAUGUCAAAGAACUAGAGAAACAGGCCUUGCUUUCAAGGAGUGUGCAAUCUAAUCAAGGAGACCUCUUUCUUCUUUUUCUAUGUAAUAAUAGCUAUUUUUCAUAGGGCCUGCUCUGUGCACUUUACAUAUAUUAAUUCAGGUAAUCCUCACAACAACCCCAGGUUUGGGGACCAUUAUUGCCCCCGUUUUGCAGAGGAGGAGACUGAGGCACAAAGAGGUUAAGUGACUUGCUCAAGGUCACACUUCCGGUAUAUGGCAAAUCCAGGACUGGAAUCCUGGCAGUCUGACCCGGAGUAUGUGUACUGGCCACUAGCUGACACUACUUCUCUUUUAAAUCAUUCUAGACUCUAGAACAUCACUAAAGGAAUUCUUACGGAUUCAAGAGUGUCUUUUUAACCUUUAAAAUUUAUAGCAAGGGGCCAGCC
RNAcentral lists this long non-coding RNA (2171 nucleotides) under Equus caballus (horse). RNAcentral describes it as "lncRNA (ENSECAG00000049928.1)". Lineage: Eukaryota; Metazoa; Chordata; Mammalia; Perissodactyla; Equidae. The record is from RNAcentral.